This is a long non-coding RNA of Triticum dicoccoides, 1050 nucleotides long. RefSeq lists it as uncharacterized. The record is from RefSeq and is a predicted model, not a curated record. The transcript has 6 exons. Lineage: Eukaryota; Viridiplantae; Streptophyta; Magnoliopsida; Poales; Poaceae.
CUGUCUUCCAAAAUCUGGCGGCGCACACAACCAAUUCGCCGCCGGGCCCCCACCUCUCCACCCGCAUGGCCGAUCUGUGAACAGAGCAAGCAUCAAUGGAGUAGGUUCCUCCUAAUCUUUCCACUCCCCUCUCUCCUUUGGAUCAAGCUCCCUCCACCUGGAGGAAGGGCUGAAGCCGGGUCGAUUCCGUCGUGCGUCAGAGCUUAGAGGCGUCACCGCCGGGGCGCGUCACCGGGCCACGCGCCGAGAGAGCAGCGCGGUUACUAGCUGCACAUUGGAGCCUUGGAGGUUGCUGGCUCGCAGCAGGCUGGGGCUGCUGGACAUGGAGAUCAGAUGGAGCAUAAGUCAGCGAGUACUUCAAUCUCAAGUUCGAGCUCCCCGUCCAGCCCCAUGUCUUCGUCUUCACAUGAAUCAGUCUUCUACUAUAUUUAGAGGUGGAUGCAAAUUUCUGCACAAUCUUCGGCUUUCUUGAUGUUGCACUGAUUAUGUAAUCUGCGUAUGGGUUGAUAAUGAGUUAUAAAGCUCGGGUUGUCUAAACCUGAAAAUUCAGUGAGGUGUAAAUGUACAGUUCACUAUUAUACUUCAACAUGAUCAGGAUGCCUUUAAUCAAAAGGAUUGGUUUAGUCAACCCAUAAGAUUGAUUCAUUACCUUGGAGUUCCAGAGGGAUUUUGUGUAGCAUGUUCUUCAGCUGAGCGACUACUUCGUCAGCCAAACACCCGGCUCCUGCUGCAAAGAUGUCCACUGUCCAAGACCCGUGCGUAUCAUUAUUCUCCCUGUCUGUGCCGCGCAACAGCAGUUUCCUGUAGCCCUGCCUCCAUCAGCUUCUCCCUCUUCCUUGCAAUCGGUUGUCCAGAAUGCGCUGGCCGCUGGGCGUAAGUACCAAGUGGCUGGCUGUUUAGUUAGAUUGCCGUGGCUGGUUGUUUAGUUAGAUUACUGACAACAAUGUCCCAUUCAUUUGUGCGCAUGAUGAUCAGCAAGAUUCAUGGACAGCGCAAAUUAAGUAGUAGAGCAGAGCGUUUAUCUUAUCAAUAUGUAUAUCGUAUGUGGAA